GAUGAACGCUGACAGAAUGCUUAACACAUGCAAGUCUACUUGAACUUCGGUUUGGGUGGCGGACGGGUGAGUAACGCGUAAAGAACUUGCCUCACAGAUAGGGACAACAUUUGGAAACGAAUGCUAAUACCUGAUAUUAUGAUUUUAGGGCAUCCUAGAAUUAUGAAAGCUAUAUGCACUGUGAGAGAGCUUUGCGUCCCAUUAGCUAGUUGGAGAGGUAACGGCUCACAAAGGCGAUGAUGGGUAGCCGGCCUGGGAGGGUGAUCGGCAAAAAGGGGACUGAGAACCGGCCCUUACUCCUCCGGGAGGAAGAAGUGGGGAAUAUUGAACAAUGGACCAAGAGUCUGAUCCAGACAUUCUGUGUGCAAGAUGAAGUUUUUCGGAAUGUAACGUGCUUUCAGUUGGGAAGAAAAAAAUGACGGUAACAACAGAAGAAGUGACGGCUAAAUACGUG
RNAcentral lists this ribosomal RNA (454 nucleotides) under uncultured bacterium. Its description in RNAcentral is "partial 16S ribosomal RNA". It matches the Rfam family "Bacterial small subunit ribosomal RNA", at positions 28 to 507 of the family's 1533-position model. The record is from RNAcentral.